CUUGUACUUAACACUCCAGUUAAAGAUGCUUAUUGAUAUGUUUAUUAUUCUUUUCUCAUUGACUCAAGUAGCUGUGCUGGGACUGACAGUGGAGCAAAGUGAACUCAUCUGGACAAAGCCAGUGGGAAAAAGUGUUUACAUCAGCUGCAAAGUGACCGAUCUGCGCACUGACUACAUCCACUGGUACCAGCAGAAAGACGGUGAAGCUCUCAAAAGAAUACUCUAUAUUAAGCAGGAUGAAACUCGCCCCACACAUGACCCCAACCAUCAGGAGGCAAAAGAGUUUGGCGUGAAGGUGGACAAGAAGUCUAAUUCCUAUGAUCUGAAGGUGCAAACACUGAAGACGAGCCAUUCUGCAGUUUAUUACUGCGCCUGCUGGGACAGCCACAGUGACAGUACUUCUUCACAUCCUGUACAAAAACUCUGA
Colossoma macropomum (tambaqui) is the source of this 427-nucleotide non-coding RNA. The record is from the annotation of a RefSeq genome assembly. NCBI's taxonomy places the organism in Eukaryota, Metazoa, Chordata, Actinopteri, Characiformes, Serrasalmidae.